RNAcentral lists this ribosomal RNA (253 nucleotides) under uncultured bacterium. RNAcentral's name for it is "partial 16S ribosomal RNA". It matches the Rfam family "Bacterial small subunit ribosomal RNA", at positions 524 to 776 of the family's 1533-position model. The record is from RNAcentral.
UACGUAGGGUGCGAGCGUUAAUCGGAAUUACUGGGCGUAAAGUGUGCGCAGGCGGCCGCGCAAGUCGAGUGUGAAAGCCCCGGGCUUAACUUGGGAAUUGCGCUCGAAACUACGUGGCUGGAGUGUGGCAGAGGAAGGUGGAAUUCCACGUGUAGCGGUGAAAUUCGUAGAUAUUGGGAAGAACACCGAUGGCGAAGGCAGCCAUCUGGACCGACACUGACGCUGAGGCGCGAAAGCGUGGGGAGCAAACAGG